Molecule: long non-coding RNA, 3341 nt
Filed under: Homo sapiens (human)
Lineage: Eukaryota; Metazoa; Chordata; Mammalia; Primates; Hominidae
Description: HSALNT0260318
Source: RNAcentral
GGCUUUGUGUGAGCAACAUGGUUGUUUAUUUCACCUGGGUGCAGGUGGGCUGAGUCCGAAAAGAGAGUCAGCAAAGGGAGAUAGGGAUGGGGCCAUUUUAUAGGAUUUGGGAAGGUAAUGGAAAAUUACAGUCAAAGGGGGUUGUUCUCUGGUGGGCAGGGGCGGGGGUCACAAGGUGCUCAGUGGGGGAGCUUCUGAGCCAGGAGAAGGAAAUUCACAGGGUUAAUCACUCAGUUAAGGUGGGGCAGGAACAAAUCACAAUGGUGGAAUGUCAUCAGUUAAGGCGGGGCAGGGCCUUUUCACUUCUUUUGUGAUUCUUCAGUAACUUCAGGCCAUCUGGGCGUAUACGUGCAAGUCACAGGGGAUGCGAUGGCUUGGCUUGGGCUCAGAGGACUGACAUUCCUGCCUUCUUAUAUUAAUAAGAAAAAUAAAACAAAAUAGUGUUGAAGUGUUGGGGUGGCGAAAAUUUUUGGGGGGUGGUAUGGAGAGAGAAUGGGCGAUGUUUCUCAGGGCUGCUUCAAGCGGGAUUAGGGGCGGGUGGGAACCUAGAGUGGGAGAGAUUAAGCUGAAAGGAGAUCUUGUGGUAAGGGGUGAUAUUGUGGGGUUGUUAGAAGAAACAUUUGUCAUAUAGUAUGAUUGGUGAUGGCCUGGAUACAGUUUUGUGUGAAUUGAAAAACUAAAUGGAAUAAGAAGGAGAAAAACAGGUAUAAAAGGUCUAAGAAUUGGGAGGACCUAGGACAUCUGAUUAGAGAGUGCCUAAGGAGAUUCAGCAUAGUCCUGCCAGCAAAGAUUAUUUAUUUACUUCAAGAGUUAAGAGUGGCAGUUUGGGGAUAGCACGAGGAGAUAUCAGCUGUGAUGGCUUGGAGAAACAGUGUAAACUGGCAGUGUGAACAAGAGCAGGGCAUGUGUGAGUAGUUGAGAAUGGAGAAUAGGAAUAUGACUAGACAGAAAAUAGUAGGGAUGACAAGUUUUCUUGGGGGCACAGUCUAAGUUGGUCCAGUGUCUGGAAUGAGACUGGGGCCUAAUAAAAAGGAGCAUCUAUACAGGAGCUUAAAUGGGCUGUACCUUGUAGCAUUCUGAGGACAGGCCUGAAUUCUGAGAAGUGAAAGUGGUAAAAGUAUUGUCCAGUCCUUUUUAAGUUGGUGGCUGAGCUUGGUGAGGUGUGUUUUUAAAAGACCUUUAGUCCGUUCUACUUUUCUUGAAGACGGAGGACCGUAAGGGAUAUAAAGGUUUCACUGAAUACUAAGAGCCUGAAAAACUAAUUGGCUGAUUUGACUAAUAAAGGCUGGUCUGCUAUCAGACUGUAUAGAGGUGGGAAGGCUAAACUGAGGAAUUAUGUCUGACAGAAGGGAAGAAAUGACUGUGGUGGCCUUCUCAGACCCUGUAGGAAAGGCCUUUACUUAUUCAGUGAAAGUGUCUAUUUAGACUAAGAGGUAUUUUAGUUUCCUGACUCGGGCAUGUUGAGUAAAGCUAAUUUGCCAGUCCUGGGUGGGGGCAAAUUCUCGAGCUUGAUGUGUAGGGAAGGGAGGGGGCCUGAAUAAUCCCUGAGGAGUAGUAGAAUAGCAGAUGGAACACUGAGAAGUUAUUUUCUUGAGGAUAGAUUUCCACGAUGGAAAGGAAAUGAGAGGUUCUGAGAGGCAGGCUAGUGGCUUGUACUAUAGCAUAGCCUGCAUUUGCUGGUAUGUGGCGAUUAGGCCUGGUGGAACUGCCAUCAAUAAAUCAAGCGUGAUCAGGGUGAGGAAUAGGAAAGAAGGAAAUACAGGGAAAUGGGGUGAAUAGCAGGUGGAUCAGAGAGAUACAGUCAUGGGGGUCAGGUGUGGUAUCAGGAAUAAUGUGGGAGGCCAGAUUGAAGUCCGGGCCAGGAACAGUGGUAAUUGUGGGACUUAACAAAGAGUGAGUACAGCUGAAGGAGCCGGGGAGCAGAAAGUGUAUGCGUCAGGUAUGAGGAAGAAAAUAGAUUUUGGAAGUUGAGAAAUGUAGAGAGUGAGUUGAGCAUAGUUUGUGAUUUUCAGGGCCUCUAAAAGUAUUAAAGCAGCGGCAGCCGCUGCACACAGACAUGAGGGCUAGGCUAAAACAGUAAGGUCAAGUUGUUUGGACAGAAAGGCUACAGGGUGCGGUCCUGGCUCUUGUGUAAGAAUUCUGACCACACUAACCAUGCCUAGGAAGGAAAGGAGUUGUUGUUUUGUAAGGGAUUGAGGUUUGGGAGAUUAAUCAGACAUGAUCAGCAGGGAAAGCACGUGUGUUUUUGUGAGAAUUAUACCGAGAUAGGUAACAGAUGAGGAUGAAAUUUGGGCUUGACUGAGGUAAUGGGGGCUGUCUGUGAAGCCUUGCGGCAGGACAGCCCAGGUAAUUUGCUGAGCCUGAUGGGUGUCAGGGUCAGUCUAAGUGAAAGCAAAGAGAGGCGGGGACGAGGGGUGCAGGGGAACAGUGAAAAAAGCAUCUUUACGAUCAAGCACGGAAUAGUGAGUUGUGGAGGAAGGUAUUGAGGACAAAAGAGUGUUCGGGUUGGGCACCACAAGGGGGAUAGGCAAAACAAUUUGGUUGAUAAGGCACAGAUCCUGAACUAACUUGUAAGUCUUGUCUGGUUUUAGGACAGGUAAAAUGGGGGAAUUGUAAGGAGAGUUUAUAGGCUUUAAAAGGCCAUGCUGUAGCAGGCGAGUGAUAACAGGCUUUAAUCCUUUUAAAGCGUGCUGUGGGAUGGGAUAUUGGCGUUGAGUGGGGUAAGGGUGAUUAGGUUUUAAUGAGAUGGUAAGGGGUGCAUGAUCAGUCGCCAAGGAGGGAGUAGAGGUGUCUUAUACUUGUGGGUUAAGGUGGGGGGAUACAAGAGGAGGACGCAAAGGAGGCUUUGGAUUGGGAAGAAGGGCGGCAAUGAGAUAUAGCUGUAGUCCAGGAAUAGUCAGGGAAGCAGAUAAUUUACUUAAAGUGCCUCAGCCUAAUAAGGGAACUGGGCAGGUGGGGAUAACUAAAAAGGAGUGCUUAAAAGAGUAGUGUCUAAGUUGGCGCCAGAGUUGGGGAGUUUUAAGAGGUUUAGAAGCCUGGCUGUCAAUACCCACAACAGUUAUGGAGGCAAGGGAAACAGGCCCUUGAAAAGAAGGUAAUGUGGAGUGGGUAGCCUCCGUAUUGAUUAAGAAGGGGAUGGACUUACCCUCCACCGUGAGAGUUACCUAAAGCUCGGCGUCCGUGAUGGUCUACGGGGCUUCUGAGGUGAUCAGGCAGCGUCAGUCUUCAGCCGGUAAGCCAAGAAGGAGUCAGUCAGAGAGCCUUGGGCCCAGAGUUCCUUGGGCUCUGGGAGUGGCUGCCAGAGAUUAUUCCAGGAAAAGAAGUGGCCCUCAGUGUCAAAG